RNAcentral lists this ribosomal RNA (216 nucleotides) under Glomeromycotina sp. RNAcentral describes it as "partial small subunit ribosomal RNA". The stretch from base 40 to 216 matches the Rfam family "Eukaryotic small subunit ribosomal RNA", at positions 686 to 864 of the family's 1831-position model. The record is from RNAcentral. Lineage: Eukaryota; Fungi; Glomeromycota.
GGGUCAGUAGGUUGGUCGUGCCACCGGUACGUACUGGUCUCACUGAUUCCUCCUUCCUGAAUAACCGUAAUGCCAUUAAUUUUGUGUUGCGGGGAAACAGGACUGUUACUUUGAAAAAAUUAGAGUGUUUAAAGCAAGCUAACGCUUAAAUACAUUAGCAUGGAAUAAUGAAAUAGGACGAUCGAUCCUAUUUUGUUGGUUUCUAGUAUUGACGUA